This is a long non-coding RNA of Symphalangus syndactylus (siamang), 234 nucleotides long. RefSeq lists it as uncharacterized. Lineage: Eukaryota; Metazoa; Chordata; Mammalia; Primates; Hylobatidae. The record is from RefSeq and is a predicted model, not a curated record.
UAGAGAGGACAAUGAAUGGAGUGAAAGGAAGGUGAGGCAGGGAAAAGUUCCACUUCUGUGACUGUCACCCAUGAGUCCUUCCACGUGGGAGCAGAGGUGUGAAGAGAAUUUACGUGGUUGUGAUGCCAAAAUCACAGAACAGAAUUUCAUAGCCCAGGCUGCCGUGUUGUUUGACUCAGAAGGCCCUUCUACUUCAGUUUUGAACCCACAAAGAAUUAAAAACUGGUAACACCA